This 214-nucleotide long non-coding RNA is filed under the name Medicago truncatula (barrel medic). Its description in RNAcentral is "long non-coding RNA (MTRU_LNC007235)". The record is from RNAcentral. Lineage: Eukaryota; Viridiplantae; Streptophyta; Magnoliopsida; Fabales; Fabaceae.
GGGGAUUGUUCUACAUAGGAGUUGAAGAAUUAGGUUUUAAUUUCAAGGAACUCUUGUAAACACAUUGUAUUCAACAUUUGUUACUUAGUGGAUGACCUUGGUGAAGGUGUACUUCAUCAAGAAGAGUAGACGUAGCUCUAGCGAGGACGAGAAAGAGAGAACUAUUAUAAAAAUAUGGGUGUUAUCUCUCUUUUUGCCCAUCCUCUUUACUUUU